UACGAAGGGGGCUAGCGUUGUUCGGAAUUACUGGGCGUAAAGCGCGUGUAGGCGGUUGUUCAAGUCAGGUGUGAAAGCCUUGAGCUCAACUCAAGAAAUGCACUUGAUACUGGAUGACUAGAGGACCGGAGAGGAUAGUGGAAUUCCCAGUGUAGUGGUGAAAUACGUAGAGAUUGGGAAGAACACCAGUGGCGAAGGCGGCUAUCUGGACGGUGACUGACGCUGAGACGCGAAAGCGUGGGGAGCAAACAGG
Molecule: ribosomal RNA, 253 nt
Filed under: uncultured bacterium
Lineage: Bacteria
Description: partial 16S ribosomal RNA
Rfam family: Bacterial small subunit ribosomal RNA
Source: RNAcentral